CCUACGGGAGGCUGCAGUAGGGAAUAUUGCUCAAUGGGGGAAACCCUGAAGCAGCAACGCCGCGUGGAGGAUGAAGGUUUUCGGAUUUUAAACUCCUUUUGUUAGAGAAGAGAAUGACGGUAUCUAACGAAUAAGCACCGGCUAACUCCGUGCCAGCAGCCGCGGUAAUACGGAGGGUGCAAGCGUUACUCGGAAUCACUGGGCGUAAAGAGCGCGUAGGCGGGAUAGCAAGUCAGAUGUGAAAUCCUAUGGCUUAACCAUAGAACUGCAUUUGAAACUGUUAUGCUAGAGUAUGGGAGAGGUAGGUGGAAUUCUUGGUGUAGAGGUAAAAUCCGUAGAUAUCAAGAGGAAUACUCAUUGCGAAGGCGACCUGCUAGAACAUAACUGACGCUGAUGCGCGAAAGCGUGGGGAGCAAACAGGAUUAGAUACCCCAGUAGUC
RNAcentral lists this ribosomal RNA (440 nucleotides) under uncultured bacterium. Its description in RNAcentral is "partial 16S ribosomal RNA". It matches the Rfam family "Bacterial small subunit ribosomal RNA", at positions 338 to 795 of the family's 1533-position model. The record is from RNAcentral.